GUGCCAGCCGCCGCGGUAAUACGUAGGGUGCAAGCGUUAAUCGGAAUUACUGGGCGUAAAGCGUGCGCAGGCGGUCUUGCAAGACAGAUGUGAAAUCCCCGGGCUUAACCUGGGAACUGCAUUUGUGACUGCAAGGCUGGAGUGCGGCAGAGGGGGAUGGAAUUCCGCGUGUAGCAGUGAAAUGCGUAGAUAUGCGGAGGAACACCGAUGGCGAAGGCAAUCCCCUGGGCCUGCACUGACGCUCAUGCACGAAAGCGUGGGGAGCAAACAGGAUUAGAAACCCCCGUAGUCC
RNAcentral lists this ribosomal RNA (292 nucleotides) under uncultured bacterium. RNAcentral describes it as "partial 16S ribosomal RNA". It matches the Rfam family "Bacterial small subunit ribosomal RNA", at positions 505 to 796 of the family's 1533-position model. The record is from RNAcentral.